CAGUAGCCGCGGGAAUACGGAGGGUGCAAGCGUUAAUCGGAAUUACUGGGCGUAAAGCGUGCGUAGGCGGUUUGUUAAGUCUGCUGUGAAAUCCCCGGGCUCAACCUGGGAAUGGCAGUGGAUACUGGCAAGCUAGAGUGUGUCAGAGGAUGGUGGAAUUCCCGGUGUAGCGGUGAAAUGCGUAGAGAUCGGGAGGAACAUCAGUGGCGAAGGCGGCCAUCUGGGACAACACUGACGCUGAGGCACGAAAGCGUGGGGAGCAAACAGGAUUAGAUACCCCAGUAGUCCCUGUCUCUUAUAA
RNAcentral lists this ribosomal RNA (301 nucleotides) under uncultured bacterium. Its description in RNAcentral is "partial 16S ribosomal RNA". It matches the Rfam family "Bacterial small subunit ribosomal RNA", at positions 509 to 809 of the family's 1533-position model. The record is from RNAcentral.